GUCCUUAGUUACCAGCACGUUAUGUGGGCACUCUAAGGAGACUGCCGGUGGACAAACCGGAGGGAAGGUGGGGAGUGACGUCAAGUCAUCAUGGCCCUUACGGCCUGGGCUACACACGUGCUACAAUGGUCGGUACAAAGGGUUGCCAAGCCGCGAGGUGGAGCUAAUCCCAUAAAACCGAUCGUAGUCCGGAUCGCAGUCUGCAACUCGACUGCGUGAAGUCGGAAUCGCUAGUAAUCGUGAAUCAGAAUGUCACGGUGAAUACGUUCCCGGGCCUU
RNAcentral lists this ribosomal RNA (278 nucleotides) under uncultured Pseudomonas sp. Its description in RNAcentral is "partial 16S ribosomal RNA". It matches the Rfam family "Bacterial small subunit ribosomal RNA", at positions 1107 to 1382 of the family's 1533-position model. Lineage: Bacteria; Pseudomonadati; Pseudomonadota; Gammaproteobacteria; Pseudomonadales; Pseudomonadaceae. The record is from RNAcentral.